GACGAACGCUGGCGGCGUGCUUAACACAUGCAAGUCGAACGGAAAGGCCCUGCUUUUGUGGGGUGCUCGAGUGGCGAACGGGUGAGUAACACGUGAGUAACCUGCCCUUGACUUUGGGAUAACUUCAGGAAACUGGGGCUAAUACCGGAUAGGAGCUCCUGCUGCAUGGUGGGGGUUGGAAAGUUUCGGCGGUUGGGGAUGGACUCGCGGCUUAUCAGCUUGUUGGUGGGGUAGUGGCUUACCAAGGCUUUGACGGGUAGCCGGCCUGAGAGGGUGACCGGCCACAUUGGGACUGAGAUACGGCCCAGACGCCUACGGGAGGCAGCAGUGGGGAAUAUGGCACAAUGGGCGGAAGCCUGAUGCAGCAACGCCGCGUGCGGGAGGACGGCCUUCGGGUUGUAAACCGCUUUCGCCUGUGACGAAGCGUGAGUGACGGUAAUGGGUAAAGAAGCACCGGCUAACUACGU
This 467-nucleotide ribosomal RNA is filed under the name uncultured bacterium. RNAcentral describes it as "partial 16S ribosomal RNA". It matches the Rfam family "Bacterial small subunit ribosomal RNA", at positions 28 to 506 of the family's 1533-position model. The record is from RNAcentral.